RNAcentral lists this ribosomal RNA (618 nucleotides) under Trichoderma harzianum. RNAcentral describes it as "eukaryotic LSU rRNA". The stretch from base 232 to 385 matches the Rfam family "5.8S ribosomal RNA". Lineage: Eukaryota; Fungi; Ascomycota; Sordariomycetes; Hypocreales; Hypocreaceae. The record is from RNAcentral.
UCCGUAGGUGAACCUGCGGAGGGAUCAUUACCGAGUUUACAACUCCCAAACCCAAUGUGAACGUUACCAAACUGUUGCCUCGGCGGGAUCUCUGCCCCGGGUGCGUCGCAGCCCCGGACCAAGGCGCCCGUCGGAGGACCAACCAAAACUCUUAUUGUAUACCCCCUCGCGGGUUUUUUUAUAAUCUGAGCCUUCUCGGCGCCUCUCGUAGGCGUUUCGAAAAUGAAUCAAAACUUUCAACAACGGAUCUCUUGGUUCUGGCAUCGAUGAAGAACGCAGCGAAAUGCGAUAAGUAAUGUGAAUUGCAGAAUUCAGUGAAUCAUCGAAUCUUUGAACGCACAUUGCGCCCGCCAGUAUUCUGGCGGGCAUGCCUGUCCGAGCGUCAUUUCAACCCUCGAACCCCUCCGGGGGGUCGGCGUUGGGGAUCGGCCCUGCCUUGGCGGUGGCCGUCUCCGAAAUACAGUGGCGGUCUCGCCGCAGCCUCUCCUGCGCAGUAGUUUGCACACUCGCAUCGGGAGCGCGGCGCGUCCACAGCCGUUAAACACCCAACUUCUGAAAUGUUGACCUCGGAUCAGGUAGGAAUACCCGCUGAACUUAAGCAUAUCAAUAAGCGGAGGA